GGCUUGGUAGCUCAGUUGGUAGAGCAAUAGACUGAAAAUCUAUGUGUCGAUGGUUCGAUUCCAUUCCAAGCCA
This 73-nucleotide transfer RNA is filed under the name Bacteroidota bacterium. RNAcentral's name for it is "tRNA-Phe". It matches the Rfam family "tRNA". Rfam says of the family: Transfer RNA (tRNA) molecules are approximately 80 nucleotides in length. Their secondary structure includes four short double-helical elements and three loops (D, anti-codon, and T loops). RNAcentral also lists the same sequence under 2 other names. Lineage: Bacteria; Pseudomonadati; Bacteroidota. The record is from RNAcentral.